Molecule: ribosomal RNA, 495 nt
Filed under: uncultured bacterium
Lineage: Bacteria
Description: partial 16S ribosomal RNA
Rfam family: Bacterial small subunit ribosomal RNA
Source: RNAcentral
GACGAACGCUGGCGGCGUGCCUAAUACAUGCAAGUAGAACGCUGAAGGAGGAGCUUGCUUCUCUGGAUGAGUUGCGAACGGGUGAGUAACGCGUAGGUAACCUGCCUGGUAGCGGGGGAUAACUAUUGGAAACGAUAGCUAAUACCGCAUAAUAGUAGAUGUUGCAUGACAUUUGCUUAAAAGGUGCAAUUGCAUCACUACCAGAUGGACCUGCGUUGUAUUAGCUAGUUGGUGGGGUAACGGCUCACCAAGGCGACGAUACAUAGCCGACCUGAGAAGGUGAUCGGACACCCUGGGACUGGGACACGGCCCAGACCACUACGGGAGGCAGCAGUAGGGAAUCUGCGGCAAUGGGCGGAAGACUGACCGAGCCACGCCGCGUGAGUGAAGAAGGGUUUCGGAUCGUAAAGCUCUGUUGUAAGAGAAGAACGAGUGUGAGAGUGGAAAGUUCACACUGUGACGGUAUCUUACCAGAAAGGGACGGCUAACUACGUG